UGUUUGAGAAAACCUCAUGGAUGCUGCUUAUGGAAUCUGCUAUAUGAACGAUUUGCAGAACUUCGAAAUUUUUAAACCAAUUCAGUGUGGCACUGCAUCUUAGCGUGUUGCAUAAGAGGGCUAAAGGAGCAACAGCUGAUCUUUAUUCAUUGGUGCAUCAGAUUUUUUUUAGUAGCUAUGGACACCACAAAAAUAUAAGGAAACAGAGUGUAACCCCGGUAUCUGUCUGAUUGUAGUUGCUUCAUCUGUUACUGUGGAUUAAAUUGGAUUAGAUUGGUAAGUUUUAUUUAUUUUUUAUUUAGGCUUUGAGAAAUAUAUAUUCACACAAUGCAUGGGUUUUCUGUGUCUUGAUGAGGUCUCUGUCUGCUUAUUUGAAGUAUUCAGUAACUUUUGGUAGAUAGUCUGAGGCUAUCCAGCUUCUCUUACAACCAAAUUUUUUGAAGUGAGCUUGUGUUAUUCCCUUCUUUUAUCUUUUUUAAAUUUGUUUGAUGGAGCAGACUGAAACUGCAGAAGUAAAUUCAGCAGGAGAUUGAGGAGAAACUAGUUACUGACUGCCGAUGGCCCACUUUUUUGGUUAGGCAUUUGAACUUUCUCUCUUUUGCAAAUGCUACAGAUUAUUUCCUGAAAGAUGAAAUAUUUUCUAAAGCCAAUGGAAGUGACAGUGCAUUAGAGAUGCUCAUGUGGGGUCAAUCUGUUGGUUAGGUAUGCUCUUCUUAAGUUAAGAUGCUGCACCGGUCAAGCUUUGGUCAAGGAGAGCGUCUGGGGAUAAACGCGCUCCAAGAAGACUAAGAAUGAUGCUUGAAUGUAAGUACUAGUCUGAGGUCGAAUAGAUGGUUUUCUUUUUAGAGCUUGUGAGGCCACAGUCUAUCUUUAUCGACUUUACAAAGGUCCACUCUUCACUUGCAAGUUGCAACUCGAGCUGUUGAUUCUUUUCUUUUCUCUUCUUUUAUCUUUUGGUUUGGGGGUUAGUUUUUCACCCAACAUUCUUUUCUUCAGUUUCUAUGCGAAGGUGAUGGUGAAUUGUACUAAUAGCUUGUUUGAGCUCUGUCCUUUUACAGAUCACUAACCCUAACUGGUGAAGGUACACUUCUUCCUAAAGUCACUCUCUGUUCAUGUGGCUCUCAUGGUCUGCAAAUUGAAACAUGGGAGAAGAGUUAUCCUUUGGUAUAUUUUUACUAUAUCCAUUACUUUUCACUUCUGUUGAUAUUGUUAAGUUGAAGCUCCAAAUAGUUCCUGCAUGGUAUUGUUGAUCUUUGGUUUGUGGUGGAUAUAUGCCAUAAUGGUACGCAACUCUAUCAGGAUACAAUUCUUGGAUAGAUGAGAAUGACACUUGAGUGUAGCCUACCAAUAGUUUAUUGUCAUCAAGAUUUGAGAA
Molecule: long non-coding RNA, 1375 nt
Organism: Rhodamnia argentea
Lineage: Eukaryota; Viridiplantae; Streptophyta; Magnoliopsida; Myrtales; Myrtaceae
Exons: 2
Source: RefSeq, a predicted model, not a curated record